RNAcentral lists this ribosomal RNA (520 nucleotides) under uncultured bacterium. Its description in RNAcentral is "bacterial SSU rRNA". It matches the Rfam family "Archaeal small subunit ribosomal RNA", at positions 345 to 866 of the family's 1478-position model. The record is from RNAcentral.
AACCUCCGCAAUGUGAGAAAUCGCGACGGGGGGAUCCCAAGUGCCAUUCUUAACGGGAUGGCUUUUCAUUAGUGUAAAGAGCUUUUGGAAUAAGGGCUGGGCAAGACCGGUGCCAGCCGCCGCGGUAACACCGGCAGCUCUAGUGGUAGCAGUUUUUAUUGGGCCUAAAGCGUCCGUAGCCGGUUUAAUAAGUCUCUGGUGAAAUCCUGUAGCUUAACUGUGGGAAUUGCUGGAGAUACUAUUAGACUUGAGACCGGGAGAGGUUAGAGGUACUCCCAGGGUAGAGGUGAAAUUCUGUAAUCCUGGGAGGACCGCCUGUUGCGAAGGCGUCUAACUGGAACGGUUCUGACGGUGAGGGACGAAAGUUAGGGGCGCGAACCGGAUUAGAUACCCGGGUAGUCCUAACCGUAAACGAUGCGGACUUGGUGUUGGGGUGGCUUUGAGCUGCUCCAGUGCCGAAGGGAAGCUGUAAGUCCGCCGCCUGGGAAGUACGGUCGCAAGACUAAAACUUAAAGGAAUU